AGCGAACGCUGGCGGCAGGCUUAACACAUGCAAGUCGAGCGCCCCGCAAGGGGAGCGGCAGACGGGUGAGUAACACGUGGGAACGUACCCUUUGGUUCGGAACAACCCAGGGAAACUUGGGCUAAUACCGGAUAAGUCCGCGAGGAGAAAGAUUUAUUGCCGAAGGAUCGGCCCGCGUCUGAUUAGCUAGUUGGUGUGGUAACGGCGCACCAAGGCGACGAUCAGUAGCUGGUCUGAGAGGAUGAUCAGCCACACUGGGACUGAGACACGGCCCAGACUCCUACGGGAGGCAGCAGUGGGGAAUAUUGGACAAUGGGGGCAACCCUGAUCCAGCCAUGCCGCGUGAGUGAUGAAGGCCCUAGGGUUGUAAAGCUCUUUCGGUGGGGAAGAUAAUGACGGUACCCACAGAAGAAGCCCCGGCUAACUUCGUG
RNAcentral lists this ribosomal RNA (431 nucleotides) under uncultured bacterium. Its description in RNAcentral is "partial 16S ribosomal RNA". It matches the Rfam family "Bacterial small subunit ribosomal RNA", at positions 29 to 507 of the family's 1533-position model. The record is from RNAcentral.